Long non-coding RNA from Patella vulgata (common limpet), 8248 nucleotides. RefSeq lists it as uncharacterized. The record is from RefSeq and is a predicted model, not a curated record. The transcript has 4 exons. NCBI's taxonomy places the organism in Eukaryota, Metazoa, Mollusca, Gastropoda, Patellidae.
UACCCGGGUCAGUAAACCCCAUUUCAUUCAUUCAGUCUAUGUCAUUUAAAUGAUUAUUUACCAUGCAUUGUUGGGGUUUUAACUUUCUAAAUUAGGCAUACUCAUACAGUUAAACAAUACAUGUACUUCUAUAUCUUAUCAUCUGUUGUGUUUCGUUCCGCACAAAACAGCUGACAUUCUUGGCAAUAGGCCUAAUAUGUGUUUCUAUACGUGUGUAUAAUAAACGUACAGACUACAGGAAUAGUUCAUAUGAAUGGACCGUUAAGUAAUAACACGUUGGGUUGAGCGGUCCCAAAGCAGGACUCUAUAGCUGAUUCUGCGUCGAUAAGUGCUGAACAGUUACGAUACUGAACAUUAUAUAAGAAGAUAUCAGUAGAGAGGAGGAAAUAAUAAAAUAUCUCAUAUGGGUAUGAGCGGAUGGGAUGCCUGGUCUCAACAAUUAUUAACUAGAAAAAUAGAGGGGGUUAAACACCGUAGUGCCCAACACGGUGGCAUUUAUGGUCUUGAUGGUAAAUUAUGGGCUGGAACCGAUGCAUUUAUGACGAAAAAGAUAAAUCCACAGUCCUUCAAAAGAGUUCACGAUGCCAUAGCAAAAGGGGCCACAGCUGUCAGUAAACUAGAAUUUGGCGAUAAAAAGUUCUUUGUAUUGAAGAAUGAUCCUGGUUCAAAAUUUGUAAUCGGUAAAUCAACACAAAAAGGAGCGGGUUGUACGAUUGCAAGGGCCAAGUCGUGCUUUGCGUUAGGAAUAUAUGACGAUGAUCAAGUGCAGCCCUCCAAUAAUACAAGUCAAGUUUGUUAUGUCAGGGACCAACUUAUUGCCGCCGGUUAUUAACCUAAAUAUGUAUUUAUUAAUGUUUAAAUAUCAGUUUUAUUAUAUUAUUAGAUGUUAAAUUUAAGUGCCGGGGAUAUUGUUUUAUUGUAUAUUCCAAGUCAGUGAGGUGGAAGUCAUUUAUACAUUCUAGUUCCAAAUAACUGUAACCAUUUUGAUAUAUCAGUGUCAUUUAUUGUAAUAACCUAUUCUAUUAGCAGAGUAAAUUAAAUUGUUUUUUUAUUGUACAUUUGACAGCAAUAUCAUUUACUUCAGAAUCUCGUAUAUAUGUUUUUCAAAUGUUUGUUUUACAAUAGAAAACUGUUGUUAAUUCUACCGGUGUAUGCGUGAAAUCCCAUAGUGUUGGCUAUACUUUUAAUGGUUUAAUACUUUUCAUUAAUCCAAAAAACAUUUUAAUACUCAAAGCGAGUAUAAGAUACAACAUUCCAUAUUGUUUUUUAAAUACUAGUUCAUGUAAUAAGUGGUGUGAUUGAAAUAGGUUAAUUGUUAAUCUAUGAAAUUAACUUUACCCAAAGGUAGGUGACCGCCAUUGUAGGCGAUAUAAUAUUCAUCAAUAUAUGAGAUAAAUGUUUCUAUAAAGCUUGUCAAUGUGCCGGACCCUUUACGUUUUAAUAUGUAUUUAAUAAUUUAUGUGUGUUUCAAACUUUUCAUAACGAGUUUAUUUAUUUUUAUUUUUAAAUUCAAAAUUUAUUUAGGUUUGUAUUUAAUAAACCUCAUUAUUUAUUAGUUCAUAUCGUAUAUAUAUAAAUGAAACGAAAUUUAUUGUUUACGUUCUGAUCAAGUUACGUCACAUUUUACAAAUAAAUUACUAAAUAAAUAUCACUUUGUUUUUUUGUUAGUACGGUCAUUUUCCUAGGGUGGUGGCUGAAUAUAAAGACUAUAUAAUAGUAUAUGAAUAGGCCUACUUCAUUUUGUUUUAUUAUGUGUGAAUUCCGAUAUUUUGAAUUCCGGUGUUUACAUGUUUACUAUGUGAAUUCCGGUGAAUUUCCGUGUUUAAAAGUAAUUUAUCAUUAAUGUAAAAUAUUAGUAAAUACGAAGGUCUUGAGUCCGAUUUCCGAUAUGUUGAAAGUGAAUUCCGAUGUUUAUAUAUACUCUUCAAAAAAAGUAGGGGAUAUUGAAAUGCAAAUACCUAUGCAGCUUGGAUAUGAUAAAUAGCCAUGGACAUUUGACAUGCUUUGAGAGUAUGUUCACAGAUGAAGAACUUAUCGCCCCAACGGAACCACUGGGCUGCACAUGCAACACGCAAUAGCGCAAUACACGUGGGAGGGAUUCAUUGUCAAAUUUGACACUUCAAGGAAGGGUUGAUGAAAACUGCCGCGUGCUGGUUUAUCUAUCCAUGUUUGCUUUCCUAUCGGUUCUUGCAUAAAAUUUACUGUUUAGCGUAUCUUUGCUUUAGUGUGUUACGUUCAAUUUGAUCGGGAGACGUGUUCGUCGACGUCAACGUCAACCGACAACACUGCAAGAAUUGGCCGUGGCACUGCAAGAUGAGUGGGUCAGAUUGCCCCAAAUCGUGAUUUGACGGUUGCUUAGGAGCAUGCCACGACGAAUUGCUGAAUGUCUGAGGAUUGGUGGAGCAAUUACUCAUUAUUAAAACAAAAAUCAAAAACGUUCAUUUUCAAUUUUGACGGUGUAUCUCUUUGCGAGUGAAAUGGGGCCGUUAGAUAAGCCGCCCAUAUGAACUGUUUAUGUUCAUGUGUAGGCAAUUGGCCUGUUAUUAAAGGGACAAUAACACUCUUGCUGGCUUGAAAGCUCCAGAAAAUAAAAAUUUUAAGUACUAGAUGUGUUAGUGUCCUACUUGUUGUGUAAAUUAUCCAUCAAAUCCUAUUUUACUUGUCCAGAGGGUUCAAAAAUAUUUUUAAAUCCAAGUAACAUUUGAAAAGCUUUACGUCAGGCUUUUCAAAUCAUUUAGUUGAAUUUUUCCAAUUUUUUAAAUUAGGCGUGUUAAGAUGAAAUUUGUAUCAUCAAUUAAUUGGAAUAUUGUAUAAUAGUACAAUUUGUUGACCAGAAUAAAGAUUGGGACAUAUUAUUCAGUUACAACAAGAGUGGUAUUGGGCCUUUAACAUACACUGGUUACCUCUAAUAAAAACAGCAGUGCAUUUCCUCGGUUUUGCCUUGUUUCUGAAUAUCCCCUGUUUUUUUUGGAAGAGUUUAUUUUCAAAGUGAAUCCCGGUGAUUUAAAGUAAUUUAUUAUUAAUGUAAAUUAAUAUUAGUAAAUACGAAGGUCUUCAAUGCGAAUUUCGAUAUGUUGUAAGUGAAUUCCGGUGUUUAUAUGUUUUCAAUGUGAAUUCCGGUGAUUUUAUGUGUUUUAAAGUAAUUAGGGUUUCAAGCGUAGCUUGUGUGCGUGGCUUGUGUGAAACACUAUUGAUUUUGUUAAAAUUAUUCUUAUUAUUAGGGUUUCACACUGCGUAGCUUGUGUGAAACACUAUUGUUUUUAUACGCCCACAUUGAAAUGUGGUCGUAUAUUGUCGUCGCCCCCGUCCGUCCGUCGUCCACAAUUGCUUGUGGACGCUCUAGAGGCUAAAGUUAAUAUCCGAUUGACUUUAAAUUUAUACACAGUGUUUAAGGUCACGAGACGACGAAGUCUAUUGAUUUUCAGCGAUUUCCGAUAAUUACUGCCAGAGUUAUGGCCCUUGACCACUUCAAAAAAUCUUGUGGACGCUCUAGAGGCCAAAGUUAAUAUCCGAUUGACUUUAAAUUUAUACACAGUGUUUAAGGUCAUGAGACGAAGAAGCCUAUUGAUUUUCAGCGAUUUCCGAUAAUUACUGCCAGAGUUAUGGCCCUUGAUCACUUCAAAAAAAUCUUGUAGGCGCUCUAGAGGCCAAAGUUAAUAUCCGAUUGAUUGCAGAUUGAUACACAGAGUUUAAGAUCUUGAGACGAACAAGUAUAUUGAUUUUCAAUGAAUUUUUAUGACUUGGAACAGCUAAAUUCAUGAUACAGUAUUAAACGUUUUGUGUACAAAACGUUAGCAUGGGGCAGAACCAUUCUAAUGGUUUUCUGAGUUGUUGCUCUUAAUCAGAUUUUAGUGUAUUAUAAAUGUUUCAUUACCGAAAAAGGUAAAAAUAUGCGACAACUCUUGUUGACUGCCCGGACGAUUUAGCUGCUGUGGGCGUAUGUUUCGUUGCCUGGCAACCUAUCUUUGUUAAAAUUAUUAGGACUUUCGUCUGAAAGCCUAUGAGAUUACUAAAAUUAUUAUUAGGCUUUCAGACUUUGUCUGAAAGACUAUUGUUUUUAUUAAAAUUAUUAUUAGGCUUUCUUUGUCUGAAAGACUAUUGUUUUUACUAAAAAUAUUACUAAAAUUAUUAUUAGGCUUUCAGACUUUGUCUGAAAGACUAUUGUUUUUAUUAAAAUUAUUAUUAGGCUUUCUUUGUCUGAAAGACUAUUGUUUUUACUAAAAAUAUUAAUAGGCUUUCAGACUUUGUCUGAAAGACUAUUGUUUUUACUAAAAUUAUUAUUAGGCUUUCAGACUCUGGAAGACUAUUGUUUUUACUAAAAUUAUUAUUAUUUAUUAGGCUUUCAGACUUUUGAACGUUCUGCGACAAUGCGAAAUGUCCGAAAUCACCGAAGCUAUCGUUUUAAAAAAUAUUGCAGUAAUUUUAAAAAUAAUCGUUGGAUUUUAACUUUCGAUACAUUUUGGCAUAGCCGGAGACAGGGCUACUUUUGAUUUUCGGCAAAUAUUCGCAGAUAUUAGGCGCCAAAUUUAGAAAAUUUAAAUUUUUACAAAAAACUUUUUUAUUUAUGAAUAUUUUUUAGUCGUGUUUUACACAACAUUAACGAGUCCUCUGGCUUGGGCAAAAAUGUGAAAUUUUUUUGUCUCAGUAAUUUUCCUUGGCCGCCAUUGGCUAAUUCAGUUUUUCAGUCCUAGAUUAAUUAUUUAUUGUUCGAUUUGUAUAAAACAAAGUUCAUAUACUCCGUUGUCUCAAUUGUCAUUUUUUUUGUUACCGAUAGAGUUAUCUGUCGGCACCGGAAGUGGCAGUUAGGUACCAUUUUUCGAAAGCAAAUAUUAUUUUUAAAAAAAAACCCUGAUAUAACUAAUCCAUUUUGAUUAGAUCUCAGCAACUGCUUGUCGCAUCGUUUUGAUUUCUUCGGUUUUACUGGGAAAGCGGAUGUGACUUAGAGGAUAAAUUACAAAAAGUACAGAAUACUGCGGCUAGACUUGUUACUUUAACUAAGAAAUGUGACCACAUAACUCCUGUUUUAUAUAAUUUACACUGGUUACCUGUUAAAUAUCGAAUUGAUUUUAAGAUUUUAUUACUUAUUUUUAAAUGUUUAAAUAAUUUAGCUCCUGUUUACCUCUCAGAUCUUUUAGAACUUUAUACACCUGGCCGAACAUUACGUACAUCAGAUAAACUACUUUUAAAGCCCAAAACUGUUCAACUAGUCUCCUAUGGUCAGCGCUCUUUUAGUUAUCAAGCACCUGUUUUAUGGAACAAUCUACCAUUUAGUUUAAGAUGUUGUACAUCUCUGUAUUCUUUUAUAAAACAACUUAAAACACAUUUAUUUAAUCAGGCUUUUAACUGACUCUGUAUACAAUCGUUAACAUGCCCAUAUUCUUGUUGUUUAUGUGUGAUUUACAUUGUCACUUUGUAAAGUGCCCCUGAACAUGUUAUAUGAAAGGGUGCACUAUAAAUAUGCUGUAAUAAUAAUAAUAAUAAUAAUAAAGCUAUUUUGAACGUUCUGCGACAAUGCGAAAUGUCCGAAAUCACCGAAGCUAUCGUUUUUAUACGCCCACAUUGAAAUGUGGUCGUAUAUUGUUGUCGCCCCCGUCCGUCCGGACGGACAGGGUCGACGACAAUAUACGUCCACAUGAAAAUGUGGGCGUAUAAAAAUAGGUUACGUGCCCUUGUUUUGAAAGUAGUCUCGCUUAACCAGUCUACCAACCAUUCUACUAGUAAGUGCAGGGGGACUUGUACAAUUUAUAAUAUAUUAAUAUAAUACCCCACACAAGAAAUGCAAAACAGGUAUGUUGAAGAAAUCGUACUAUGUAAGUGUAUUUAUAAAGGCAUAAAAUUAAGGGAGGUAAUUCAGAGAGGGUUAGGUAACUACAGAAAAUCUAAAAUAAAAUUUAAAUUGGAUCAUUAUCCAGUAUGUAGUCGGUUAUAUACUUACAAGAAAUGUCAAACUUGGUAUGUUGUAGAAAUGGAAGUUUUGAAAUUUCUUUUAAAAUGCGUAAUUGUGUAGCGCCUUUGGCAGUGCAUUUAAAGUAAAGAGAUUUUAUUCGGGAGAGAAAUAGUUCUUUAUUGUUACAUAUUGUCAAAAAUCGUAAUGCCUGUGAAUAGAAAACACUAUAUAGCGUGGUAUAUGGUAUGUUACUAUAGAUUGACGGGUAUUUUACUACUUCAAAACCAAAUUUGUCCGUUUUGUCGAAAAUACCGACAUUAAAUUUAUUGUUAAUUAUAUUGAUGUUCAGGUCAAGAACAGAUGCAUUUGUAGUACCGGAAUUUUCUUUAUUUAAUAUUAGUUCAGGAGGACAUAUUUCACUUUUAUAUUUGUUGAAAUUUCCGUUAUCAUUGAUAGGUGUUAUGUCAUCAAUGUAUCGGAAGGUAUAGUUUAGACUUUUGGCUACUUUGUAAUCUGUUUUUCUUUUAUGGUCUUGAAAGUCGAAUUCGUAUUUAUAUAAAUGUGCAUUUGCCAUAAAUGGGGCGGUGUCAGUUCCCAUUGGCAAACCAAUGAUCUGUUGCAUUAUCUGAUCCCCAACCUCAAAUAUGGCAUUGUCAAUGAGGAAAUGUAUGAUAUUUUGAAAUUUUUCUUUAUCAAAAACUAGAGUGUCGGCAUUGCGACGUUUUAUAAUCCAUUCAGCAUCUUCUGCAUAAAUGGCCAUCAAAAAUCUGCCUUUCCCGAAAGCUCCAUUAAAGGCUUGAUCUACAAACCAAUCUAAAUUAUCUUUAAGAUCUGCAUGUUGAAGCAUAGUAUACAAAGUAGAAAAAUCGAACGUUUCUAUUGUGUUGGCAUUAAUUUUUUUUAUUGAUUUUUUCUAAAGUGUCUACUAUAGGUUUAUUUUUAUCAAUUAUAAAAAACCCUAUUAAUUCCAGUAUAGCUACGAAGUAUUCUGCACCAAAUGGCAUGUUGGGUUUGGCAUAAUUUAAGCCCUUUGGUGAUAGUCUUAGCUAAUGGUUUCGUUUGGCAGAUACUUAGGAGAUAAACACCCCUCUAAAUUCGAAAUAGGAGGUGUUUAUCGACAUUGUAACACGCUAUUUUUUAGAAUUUUAAAAGAACUUAUUUUAUUGUGUAAACUUCAAAAUUCGUCUCACUGCAAAUCGGUUUUAGUGACGUAAAAACCAAAGAAAUCAAUUUUGACGUAAUGAAAACGUCGUGACGUAGCGGGGGUAACUGGCUGCUCAUGUUAGAUUUGGCUCGUUUAUCGUCUGGUUGCUAUAGUAGCCGUAUGAGUAUAGACACACAAAAAAACCUAAAAUUCUCCCUUCAUUUUUUUAAAAGUACUUUUUGAAAUUAAUGAUGGCGUUAAAAUGAGUAAGCUAGAAGAUUUGUUAAGCUUUUCUUUAAUUUCUAAGAUUGCUCUAGCCAAAUUAAACGUUGAUCAUGCGACAUCUUAUUGUUAUCUUAACUUAAACCCAAACAAAGAGACAGUUUAAAAUCAGCUCUUAUAAUCAAGUUACAAUCGCAGGCCUACUGGCUAUGGCAAAUCACUCAUAUUUCAUUUGAUUUAGCCUAUUGCCGUAUUUCUCAAAUUCCAAAAUAUUAAUUAUUGUUCCGUUAAAUUCCAUUAUUGAGAAAAAAUUGCACAGUUUCGGCUCUAAUCCACAAGCUAAACAUAAACUACCGCUGCAUUUAAUUGGUGUUGACAUCUUCAGCGUCCGAUCAUGUUUUUGUUUGUAAACAUUGGUAAUGUGUGCAGAAAGAGAUGCGCACUGCCGGGAGGAAUUCCUCCUGGCAAGAUGGGCCGCCUUCGGCUCGUCCAAAUGUUCAACCAUAGUUCAACUAGGUCUCGACCAUGCGCAUCCGAACUUGAAAUUGUUAGACUAUAGUCGCGACCAUGAAUGGCAUGAUUAACCCACCUUUCGAGGUCGGUUGAGGCUGGUCAAGUCAGAUUUAAAAUGGCGUCCCGCGACAAAACAUAUGGUGUGUUGAAAUUGUUAUAUGAAGAUAUAACGUAUACUACCAAUGUUGCCCCAGAACCUGAGACUUAUUUAAAUUCACAUAACAUAUUUAAGUAGUUUCCAUAUUAUAUAGAGUGGAUAAUCAUGUUUUGUCAAUCAAUUCGACCAAGGAUUAAAUCGACCAAGGCUGAUGUCAGACUGAAAUUGUGAAAGUGACAGUAUUAUAGUAAAAAUAUUUCAUCCAUUUGUGGAUUUUAUUUGGAAAAACAGUAACACAAACAAACGAUUUUGUUCAUUAAAUACAUCAGUUUGAUAUACAUUGUAAAUAUAAAUUAUGUAACUGUAAAUAAACUCUGGAUAUUUA